AUGGAGGUUACCGUGCACUCGUCAAAGCCCGUCAAGCCUGACUACGGUGACGGUGCUGACGGUCCUUUCUCCUACUUCGUCCCUCUCAGCGUAUUUGACAAGGUGAGCUACGACGAGUAUGUCACCGGCCUAUGCGCCUUCCACCCGCCUGUGCCGGCCAAUGACAUCCUCGAGGCGGGGCUCGCCAAGGCGCUGACCGAGUACCGCGAGUGGGCCGGGCGGCUCGGCGCAGACGCCGGUGGCAACCGUGCCAUCGUGCUCAACGACGCCGGUGCAUGGUGCGGCUCCAUCAUCAUUGGCGUCAGCAUGCAUCACAAGGUGGCCGAUGGGCACGCCAUCUGGACUUUCUUGUUCGCAUGGGGCCAGGCCACCCGCGGUGUCGCCAUCAGCCCCGUCCCGGUGCACGAUCGGACGUCGCUAUUCACGCCGCGGAUCGAGUUCGACCACCGCGGCAACGAGUUCAAGUCUCACGGCGACAACUCGGGUGGCACCCACGCCGGCGAUGAGACACUCAUACACAGGGUGCACUUCAGCCGGGAGCGGAUCAUUCAAUAG
This 555-nucleotide ribosomal RNA is filed under the name Triticum aestivum (bread wheat). RNAcentral's name for it is "partial small subunit ribosomal RNA". The record is from RNAcentral. Lineage: Eukaryota; Viridiplantae; Streptophyta; Magnoliopsida; Poales; Poaceae.